RNAcentral lists this small RNA (68 nucleotides) under Pedobacter alluvionis. Its description in RNAcentral is "Flavo-1 RNA". It matches the Rfam family "Flavo-1 RNA". The record is from RNAcentral. Lineage: Bacteria; Pseudomonadati; Bacteroidota; Sphingobacteriia; Sphingobacteriales; Sphingobacteriaceae.
GUUUAGCCCCGAUUGAAGCGGCAUCCUUGGAGCAUAGCGGAAAGAUAUAGCGAAAAGCGGGAACAAAC